RNAcentral lists this ribosomal RNA (864 nucleotides) under uncultured bacterium. Its description in RNAcentral is "bacterial SSU rRNA". It matches the Rfam family "Bacterial small subunit ribosomal RNA", at positions 8 to 885 of the family's 1533-position model. The record is from RNAcentral.
AGAGUUUGAUCCUGGCUCAGGACGAACGCUGGCGGCGCGCCUAACACAUGCAAGUCGAACGAGCGAGAGAGAGCUUGCUUUCUCGAGCGAGUGGCGAACGGGUGAGUAACGCGUGAGGAACCUGCCUCAAAGAGGGGGACAACAGUUGGAAACGACUGCUAAUACCGCAUAAGCCCACAGGUCGGCAUCGACCAGAGGGAAAAGGAGCAAUCCGCUUUGAGAUGGCCUCGCGUCCGAUUAGCUAGUUGGUGAGGUAACGGCCCACCAAGGCGACGAUCGGUAGCCGGACUGAGAGGUUGAACGGCCACAUUGGGACUGAGACACGGCCCAGACUCCUACGGGAGGCAGCAGUGGGGAAUAUUGCACAAUGGGGGAAACCCUGAUGCAGCGACGCCGCGUGGAGGAAGAAGGUCUUCGGAUUGUAAACUCCUGUUGUUGAGGAAGAUAAUGACGGUACUCAACAAGGAAGUGACGGCUAACUACGUGCCAGCAGCCGCGGUAAAACGUAGGUCACAAGCGUUGUCCGGAAUUACUGGGUGUAAAGGGAGCGCAGGCGGGAAGACAAGUUGGAAGUGAAAUCUAUGGGCUCAACCCAUAAACUGCUUUCAAAACUGUUUUUCUUGAGUAGUGCAGAGGUAGGCGGAAUUCCCGGUGUAGCGGUGGAAUGCGUAGAUAUCGGGAGGAACACCAGUGGCGAAGGCGGCCUACUGGGCACCAACUGACGCUGAGGCUCGAAAGUGUGGGUAGCAAACAGGAUUAGAUACCCUGGUAGUCCACACCGUAAACGAUGAUUACUAGGUGUUGGAGGAUUGACCCCUUCAGUGCCGCAGUUAACACAAUAAGUAAUCCACCUGGGGAGUACGA